RNAcentral lists this ribosomal RNA (422 nucleotides) under Candidatus Moranbacteria bacterium CG_4_10_14_3_um_filter_44_15. Its description in RNAcentral is "bacterial LSU rRNA". It matches the Rfam family "Bacterial large subunit ribosomal RNA", at positions 2542 to 2925 of the family's 2925-position model. Lineage: Bacteria; Candidatus Moraniibacteriota. The record is from RNAcentral.
GCAUCCUGGGGCUGGAGAAGGUCCCAAGGGUUUGGCUGUUCGCCAAUUAAAGCGGUACGCGAGCUGGGUUCAAACCGUCGUGAGACAGGUUGGUCUCUAUCUGCCGUAGGCGUUGUUGCUUGAGAGGAGUCUUUCCUAGUACGAGAGGACCGGAAAGAACGAACCUCUGGUGUACCAGUUGUUCCUGCCAAGGGCACUGCUGGGUAGCUAUGUUCGGAAGGGAUAAUCGCUGAAAGCAUCUAAGCGAGAAGCCCACCUCAAGAUUAGGCAAUAUGGCUUCCUGGAAGAUGACCAGGUCCGAUGUAAAAUCGGACUCCGUACCCCCGAUGUUACAAUCGGGGCGUCGGAGUUGAUAGGCUUCAGGUGUAAGCGCGGCAACGCGUUCAGCCGAGAAGUACUAAUAAGCCAAAGAGUUUACCCUG